RNAcentral lists this ribosomal RNA (429 nucleotides) under uncultured prokaryote. Its description in RNAcentral is "bacterial SSU rRNA". It matches the Rfam family "Bacterial small subunit ribosomal RNA", at positions 355 to 776 of the family's 1533-position model. RNAcentral also lists the same sequence under 1 other name. The record is from RNAcentral.
UAGGGAAUCUUCCGCAAUGGACGAAAGUCUGACGGAGCAACGCCGCGUGAGUGAAGAAGGUUUUCGGAUCGUAAAACUCUGUUGUUAGAGAAGAACAAGGAUGAGAGUAACUGUUCAUCCCUUGACGGUAUCUAACCAGAAAGCCAUGGCUAACUACGUGCCAGCAGCCGCGGUAAUACGUAGAUGGCAAGCGUUGUCCGGAUUUAUUGGGCGUAAAGCGAGCGCAGGCGGUUCUUUAAGUCUGAUGUGAAAGCCCCUGGCUCAACCAGGGAGGGUCAUUGGAAACUGGAGAACUUGAGUGCAGAAGAGGAAAGUGGAAUUCCAUGUGUAGCGGUGAAAUGCGUAGAUAUAUGGAGGAACACCAGUGGCGAAGGCGACUUUCUGGUCUGUAACUGACGCUGAGGCUCGAAAGCAUGGGGAGCAAACAGG